UGGGGAAUAUUGGACAAUGGGCGCAAGCCUGAUCCAGCAAUGCCGCGUGUGUGAAGAAGGCCUUCGGGUUGUAAAGCACUUUUAUCAGGAGCGAAACGCUGUCGGCUAAUACCCGGCGGAACUGACGGUACCUGAGGAGUAAGCACCGGCUAACUUCGUGCCAGCAGCCGCGGUAAUACGAAGGGUGCAAGCGUUAAUCGGAAUUACUGGGCGUAAAGCGUGCGUAGGCGGUUUCUUAAGUCUGCUGUGAAAUCCCCGGGCUCAACCUGGGAAUGGCAGUGGAUACUGGGAGGCUAGAGUGUGUCAGAGGGUGGUGGAAUUCCCGGUGUAGCGGUGAAAUGCGUAGAGAUCGGGAGGAACAUCAGUGGCGAAGGCGGCCACCUGGGACAACACUGACGCUGAGGCACGAAAGCGUGGGGAGCAAACAGGAUUAGAUACCCUGGUAGUCCACGCCCUAAAGCGAUGCGAACUGGAUGUUGGUCUCAACUCGGAGAUCAGUGUCGAAGCUAACGCGUUAAGUUCGCCGCCUGGGGAGUACGGUCGCAAGACUGAAACUCAAAGGAAUUGAC
This 569-nucleotide ribosomal RNA is filed under the name uncultured bacterium. RNAcentral describes it as "partial 16S ribosomal RNA". It matches the Rfam family "Bacterial small subunit ribosomal RNA", at positions 355 to 914 of the family's 1533-position model. The record is from RNAcentral.